CGGACGGGUGAGUAAUGCCUAGGAAUCUGCCUGGUAGUGGGGGAUAACGUCCGGAAACGGGCGCUAAUACCGCAUACGUCCUGAGGGAGAAAGUGGGGGAUCUUCGGACCUCACGCUAUCAGAUGAGCCUAGGUCGGAUUAGCUAGUUGGUGGGGUAAAGGCCUACCAAGGCGACGAUCCGUAACUGGUCUGAGAGGAUGAUCAGUCACACUGGAACUGAGACACGGUCCAGACUCCUACGGGAGGCAGCAGUGGGGAAUAUUGGACAAUGGGCGA
This 276-nucleotide ribosomal RNA is filed under the name Pseudomonas aeruginosa. RNAcentral's name for it is "partial 16S ribosomal RNA". It matches the Rfam family "Bacterial small subunit ribosomal RNA", at positions 99 to 378 of the family's 1533-position model. Lineage: Bacteria; Pseudomonadati; Pseudomonadota; Gammaproteobacteria; Pseudomonadales; Pseudomonadaceae. The record is from RNAcentral.